AUCUUUCAAAGAAUUGGAAUACUCCAACAAUUUAUGCAAAUUAUUUUUUACUAAUGCUUUACUUUCUCCGGAAAUUAUCAAAUUAUUCGAGAUUAUAUCUUUAGUGGUUGGUGGGAUAAGUAUGUCGAUUGACACAUUCAGUUGUGGAAUAACAUCUCUGUACAGUUUUUUAGUCACAUUUUUCUUUGAUAUUAGUAACGUACCAUCAUUCGUAUUUGCCUCACAUUGAUUACUUAAUUCUAAAAUUCCCGUACCCUUUACAUUUACUAUUUCUACUUCAGACACAUCUUUACAUUUAAUGAAAAUAUUUUCUUUAAAUAUAAUGUAUAUCCUUGAAUUUGUGUUUUCUAAUCUAUGUCAUAUGCUAAAAUUAAAAUUAAUAUUUUUUAAGUUACAUGAGUCAGGUAUUGCACCUGGGUUUCUGAAUAUCAUUAAUUCACAUGAACUGUCUACAUAAUACAAUUGUUGAUCGUAAGGACAUAUUAUGGCUGUUGCUAUUGGUUUACAUUUAGCUAAAUCUACUUCACUUAACUUUAAGUAAUACAAUCUAGAUUUAUCUAUAGCUAUAUAAUUUGUCGCCGGUACAAUCGUUACUUAUGAGUUAUUAAAUACAUUUAUUGGCAGAGGUAUUGUCUUAUAUAAUAUGAAUUCGUAGCUUUUUACUAAAGGUAUCUCUAUAUCAAAAACUAAUACAUCUUUUAUUAAAACGACAUUAGUUGUAGUUAGACGAAGCAAUUCUCAUACUCCAGAAUCAUCUAAGUUAACUGGUAUACCCUCCUUAAUAG
Cinara cedri is the source of this 785-nucleotide non-coding RNA. Lineage: Eukaryota; Metazoa; Arthropoda; Insecta; Hemiptera; Aphididae. The record is from the annotation of a GenBank genome assembly.